GAUGAACGCUGGCGGCGUGCCUAAUACAUGCAAGUCGAGCGAACAGACGAGGAGCUUGCUCCUCUGACGUUAUCGGCGGACGGGUGAUUAACACUUGGAUAACCUACCUAUAAGACUGUGAUAACUUCGGGAAACCGGAGCUAAUACCGGAUAAUAUAUUGAACCGCAUGGUUCAAUAGUGAAAUACGGUUUUGCUGUCACUUAUAGAUGGAUCCGCGCCGCAUUAGCUAGUUGGUAAGGUAACGGCUUACCAAGGCAACGAUGCGUAGCCGACCUGAGAGGGAGAUCGACCACACGGGAACUGAGAAACGGUCCAGACUCCGACGGGAGGAAGCAGUAGGGAAUCUUCCGCAAUGGGCGAAAGCCGGACGGAGCAAAGCCGCGUGAGUGAUGAAGGUCUUAGGAUCGUAAAACUAUGUUAUUAGGGAAGAACAAAUGUGUAAGUAACUAUGCACGUAUUGACGGUACCUAAUCAGAAAGCCACGGCUAACUACGUG
This 497-nucleotide ribosomal RNA is filed under the name uncultured bacterium. Its description in RNAcentral is "partial 16S ribosomal RNA". It matches the Rfam family "Bacterial small subunit ribosomal RNA", at positions 28 to 507 of the family's 1533-position model. The record is from RNAcentral.